This 927-nucleotide ribosomal RNA is filed under the name uncultured bacterium. Its description in RNAcentral is "bacterial SSU rRNA". It matches the Rfam family "Bacterial small subunit ribosomal RNA", at positions 8 to 916 of the family's 1533-position model. The record is from RNAcentral.
AGAGUUUGAUCCUGGCUCAGGAUGAACGCUGGCGGCGUGCCUAAUACAUGCAAGUCGAGCGAACAGACAAGGAGCUUGCUCCUUUGACGUUAGCGGCGGACGGGUGAGUAACACGUGGGUAACCUACCUAUAAGACUGGGAUAACUUCGGGAAACCGGAGCUAAUACCGGAUAAUAUUUCGAACCGCAUGGUUCGAUAGUGAAAGAUGGUUUUGCUAUCACUUAUAGAUGGACCCGCGCCGUAUUAGCUAGUUGGUAAGGUAACGGCUUACCAAGGCGACGAUACGUAGCCGACCUGAGAGGGUGAUCGGCCACACUGGAACUGAGACACGGUCCAGACUCCUACGGGAGGCAGCAGUAGGGAAUCUUCCGCAAUGGGCGAAAGCCUGACGGAGCAACGCCGCGUGAGUGAUGAAGGUCUUCGGAUCGUAAAACUCUGUUAUUAGGGAAGAACAUACAUGUAAGUAACUAUGCACGUCUUGACGGUACCUAAUCAGAAAGCCACGGCUUACUACGUGCCAGCAGCCGCGGUAAUACGUAGGUGGCAAGCGUUAUCCGGAAUUAUUGGGCGUAAAGCGCGCGUAGGCGGUUUUUUAAGUCUGAUGUGAAAGCCCACGGCUCAACCGUGGAGGGUCAUUGGAAACUGGAAAACUUGAGUGCAGAAGAGGAAAGUGGAAUUCCAUGUGUAGCGGUGAAAUGCGCAGAGAUAUGGAGGAACACCAGUGGCGAAGGCGACUUUCUGGUCUGUAACUGACGCUGAUGUGCGAAAGCGUGGGGAUCAAACAGGAUUAGAUACCCUGGUAGUCCACGCCGUAAACGAUGAGUGCUAAGUGUUAGGGGGUUUCCCGCCCCUUAGUGCUGCAGCUAACGCAUUAAGCACUCCGCCUGGGGAGGACGACCGCAAGGUUGAAACUCAAGGGAUUGACGG